AAACAACCCUAGGGCCCUCGGGGGGCCAAAAAAUCACGGAAAAACGGAGCUUACCGGCGGCGGUGCUCUCGGGUGCGGCGGCUCUCCGGCGAGGUUCGUGUUUUGGUGAUUCGGCUCCGGUUAACCUGUAGAGAAAAGAGUGGUGAUCACGGUGAUAUAAAAAUUGCAUCAAACGGAGGCCGGGAAGGGCCUCAUCGGAGGCAAAAAUCGAGAAGGGCGCGGCGGCGCCGCUGGGCUUCGGCCAUGCAUUCCGGCCGUUUGGCCGGGAUUUUGGCUUCGAUUUG
This 284-nucleotide long non-coding RNA is filed under the name Carica papaya (papaya). Its description in RNAcentral is "long non-coding RNA (CPAP_LNC008869)". The record is from RNAcentral. Lineage: Eukaryota; Viridiplantae; Streptophyta; Magnoliopsida; Brassicales; Caricaceae.